Molecule: ribosomal RNA, 407 nt
Filed under: uncultured bacterium
Lineage: Bacteria
Description: partial 16S ribosomal RNA
Rfam family: Bacterial small subunit ribosomal RNA
Source: RNAcentral
UGGGGAAUAUUGCACAAUGGGCGCAAGCCUGAUGCAGCCAUGCCGCGUGUGUGAAGAAGGCCUUCGGGUUGUAAAGCACUUUCAGCGAGGAGGAAGGUGGUGAGCUUAAUACGCUCAUCAAUUGACGUUACUCGCAGAAGAAGCACCGGCUAACUCCGUGCCAGCAGCCGCGGUAAUACGGAGGGUGCAAGCGUUAAUCGGAAUUACUGGGCGUAAAGCGCACGCAGGCGGUUUGUUAAGUCAGAUGUGAAAUCCCCGGGCUCAACCUGGGAACUGCAUUUGAAACUGGCAAGCUAGAGUCUCGUAGAGGGGGGCUAGAAUUCCAAGUGUAGCGGUGAAAUGCGUAGAGAUCUGGAGGAAUACCGGUGGCGAAGGCGGCCCCCCUGGANGAAGACUGACGCUCAGGU